GAAAUGCGAUAAGUAAUGUGAAUUGCAGAAUUCAGUGAAUCAUCGAAUCUUUGAACGCACCUUGCGCUCCUUGGUAUUCCGAGGAGCAUGCCUGUUUGAGUGUCGUGUAAUUCUCAACUCAUAAUGUUCUUGCGAGCAUUGUGCAGUUGGAUGUGGAGGCUUUGCUGGCUUUAAUCAGUCGGCUCCUCUUAAAUGCAUUAGCUUGAUUCCUUGCGGAUCGGCUUCGGUGUGAUAAUUGUCUACGCCGUGACCGUGAAGCGUUUGGCGAGCUUAUAGCCGUCUCAUUAGAGACAACACUUUGACAUCUGACCUCAAAUCAGGUAGGAUUACCCGCUGAACUUAA
Molecule: unclassified non-coding RNA, 343 nt
Filed under: uncultured Grammothele
Lineage: Eukaryota; Fungi; Basidiomycota; Agaricomycetes; Polyporales; Polyporaceae
Description: sequence contains ITS1
Rfam family: 5.8S ribosomal RNA (bases 1-105)
Source: RNAcentral